CGAAUCGCAUGGCCUUGCGCCGGCGAUGGUUCAUUCAAAUUUCUGCCCUAUCAACUUUCGAUUGUAGGAUAGAGGCCUACAAUGGUAUCAACGGGUAACGGGGAAUUAGGGUUCGAUUCCGGAGAGGGAGCCUGAGAAACGGCUACCACAUCCAAGGAAGGCAGCAGGCGCGCAAAUUACCCAAUCCCGACACGGGGAGGUAGUGACAAUAAAUACUGAUACAGGGCUCUUUUGGGUCUUGUAAUUGGAAUGAGUACAAUCUAAAUCCCUUAACGAGGAACAAUUGGAGGGCAAGUCUGGUGCCAGCAGCCGCGGUAAUUCCAGCUCCAAUAGCGUAUAUUAAAGUUGUUGCAGUUAAAAAGCUCGUAGUUGAACCUUGGGCCUGGCUGGCCGGUCCGCCUCACCGCGUGCACUGGUUCGGCCGGGCCUUUCCUUCUGGGGAGCCGCAUGCCCUUUACUGGGCGUGUCGGGGAACCAGGACUUUUACUUUGAAAAAAUUAGAGUGUUCAAAGCAGGCCUUCGCUCGAAUACAUUAGCAUGGAAUAAUAGAAUAGG
This 555-nucleotide ribosomal RNA is filed under the name Dothideomycetes sp. A567. RNAcentral describes it as "SSU rRNA". It matches the Rfam family "Eukaryotic small subunit ribosomal RNA", at positions 260 to 826 of the family's 1831-position model. Lineage: Eukaryota; Fungi; Ascomycota; Dothideomycetes. The record is from RNAcentral.